Molecule: ribosomal RNA, 118 nt
Filed under: Pteropus alecto (black flying fox)
Lineage: Eukaryota; Metazoa; Chordata; Mammalia; Chiroptera; Pteropodidae
Source: RNAcentral
GUCUACGGCCAUGCCACCCUGAACAAGCCCAAUCCUGUCUGAUCUCGGAAGCAAGCAUGGUCGGGCCUGGUUAGGACUUGGAUAGGAGACCACCCAGGAAGACCAGGUGCUGUAGGCG